UGGCUCAGAUUGAACGCUGGCGGCAGGCCUAACACAUGCAAGUCGAACGGUAACAGGAAGCAGCUUGCUGCUUCGCUGACGAGUGGCGGACGGGUGAGUAAUGUCUGGGAAACUGCCUGAUGGAGGGGGAUAACUACUGGAAACGGUAGCUAAUACCGCAUAACGUCGCAAGACCAAAGAGGGGGACCUUCGGGCCUCUUGCCAUCGGAUGUGCCCAGAUGGGAUUAGCUAGUAGGUGGGGUAACGGCUCACCUAGGCGACGAUCCCUAGCUGGUCUGAGAGGAUGACCAGCCACACUGGAACUGAGACACGGUCCAGACUCCUACGGGAGGCAGCAGUGGGGAAUAUUGCACAAUGGGCGCAAGCCUGAUGCAGCCAUGCCGCGUGUAUGAAGAAGGCCUUCGGGUUGUAAAGUACUUUCAGCGGGGAGGAAGGGAGUAAAGUUAAUACCUUUGCUCAUUGACGUUACCCGCAGAAGAAGCACCGGCUAACUCCGUGCCAGCAGCCGCGGUAA
This 514-nucleotide ribosomal RNA is filed under the name uncultured bacterium. RNAcentral's name for it is "bacterial SSU rRNA". It matches the Rfam family "Bacterial small subunit ribosomal RNA", at positions 20 to 523 of the family's 1533-position model. The record is from RNAcentral.